UGCAGUAGUAGGAACGCCUCAGGACC
RNAcentral lists this non-coding RNA (26 nucleotides) under Mus musculus (house mouse). The record is from RNAcentral. Lineage: Eukaryota; Metazoa; Chordata; Mammalia; Rodentia; Muridae.